AAAGCGUCGCGCAUCUAUGGCAACCAAAUACAGAAACCGCAAACAAUGGUCCAUCCCAUGUUUUUAUUUUCUUACUGUAAGACCUAGCUCACAGUAACGUUAGCUAGUUAGCUUUCUAUAAUUGUUUAGCUUUUCAUAUUACAUGUUCAUUUUAUUUUAAUCGACAAUGGGGAGGGAUUAUUAUGCAGCAUUGGAGAUAAAUAGAAAUGCGACAGAUGCAGACAUAAAAAAAUCAUACCGACGACUUGCCUUGAAGUACCAUCCUCACACAAACAGCAAACCGGGUGCCUAUGAAAAAUUCAAUCAACUUGCCGAGGCCUAUGAUGUUUUGAGUGACCCUCGAAAAAAGGCAACCUAUGACAAGUUUGGAGAAGAGGGUCUGAAAGGAGGUAUCCCACUUCAGUCUGGGGAGACUGGAGCUUGGACAUCAGGAUACAUCUACCAUGGAAACCCAGACAAGAUAUUCAGGCAGUUUUUUGGAGGUGACAACCCAUUCGCAGACUUCCACAUGAAAGAUGGGAAUGAAGUGGCCAUUGGGUUUGGAGGCCUGCGAGGAAGAGGAGUGAAAACACAAGACUCCCCCAUUGAAAGGGACCUUCACUUGGCCUUGGAAGACCUCUUCUAUGGAUGUACCAAAAAGAUCAAAAUAUCUCGUAGGGUCAUGAAUGAAGAUAGACACACAUCCAGUAUCAAGGACAAAAUAUUGACUAUCAUUGUAAAACCAGGAUGGAAUGAAGACACUAGGAUAACAUUCCCAAAGGAGGGUGAUCAGGGACCCAACAGUAUUCCUGCAGAUAUUGUGUUCAUUGUGCGGCAGAAGAGUCAUCCCCGGUUUGCAAGGCAACACAAUGACCUGGUCUUUACGGCCCAGAUCUCUCUGGAGAAGGCUUUGACUGGAUUCGCUGUUGAAGUGAAGACACUAGAUGACAGGAUACUCAAUAUCCCCAUCAAUGACAUUGUGCAGUACCUCCAGCGCUCCCUCCUGCCUCAUGUUCGGCCUGUCCCUGGUAAUCUACCCCAGGCUUUUGUCUUUGCCCCGGUGUGGCACAGACCAACAGAAGAGGGGGAUGUCCUUCCUGCCUCCAAAGCAUGUCUCGGAAAGUGCUGAGAUUAUUAUGAUUUUUUAAUAAUAAAUUACAAGCUUGUAAAUGGUAAUUUUAAUAUUUGCUCAUGUUGGUAGUUUAACUCGGUCUUUCCCUUAAAUGCAGCUGGUGAUUCCAGAGACCUGGCGGGCAACUCUUAACAAGAAGCACCAGCAGUGGAUUGACCUGACGCUGUUUACCCAAGUUGAACUCUGAGUUGACCAAAGUCACCUUGCUAACUCCUCAAACCUGAUGACUCCAAAAACAGAUUUUCACCAACUCAAAUUGAAUUGACAUUGUUAAGUUUCAUGAUGCUUCUAUCUAAAGUCACCAUGUCCUAGAGAGAUUUACAUGGUUAUCAAAACUUCACAAUGCUUAAAAGAUGCUUAAAAUUAUUAAAAUACACAAAAUUGAUGGUUGUUGUGUUGAAUUGUGUUAGGGAAAUAUUUCUAUCAAUACAGAAAUGAGUAGGCGGCUUAACUUACCCUGUCCCGUGGCCAGAGAUCACAUUUUCUGGACAAGCUAUGUUUUCAAAACAGUAACUUUUACAUGAAUUCUGAUUAUUUCCAGGGAUACACAUCAUCCUGAAAUAUGUGUGGAUAUCUUUGCUAGAAAGAAUACUGUAUUUUCCUUGACCCAGUGAUGCUGAAUGUAAGACAUGGCUCAACUUACCCCACUCUCCCUACCCUACCCUGUCCCUAUGCUCAAUUUACUCCAUAUCUGAUCUGGGAUAAAUUGUGCCAAGAGACCACUUUUUUUGGACAUGCUCUGUUUUCAAAACAGUUGUUGUUUAUAUGAAUUCUGAUUAUUUCCAGUGAUACACAACAUCCUGAAAUAUAUGUAAGUAUCUUUCUUAGUUAAAAUACUAUAUCUCCCUUGAUGUACUGAUGCUGAAUAUAAAACAUGUCUCAACAUACCCUACAUACAGUAUGCGUGUGGUACAUUGAGAAAAAAGUGAUGUGACGCCCCUCCCUGCUCUGUCUACUGGGCUUUGCUGCGCUUACUUCCUGCAGGAGAUUGGUGGGCGGAGUAGAGUCGUCAGUGCUGAUGGGGCACACCUGUGAAAGCUCAGCUGUGGCAUAAAGCAACUACUUCCCCAUUCAGCCAGAGAUUUCUCUCUCCGUGCAUAGUGUUUGUUGUUUUGUUGUGGCUUUGGCAGUUGAUGUGUAAUUUACUGACCUUCAUAUCUCAUCUGAUUAUUGUUUUUUCUGUAAUCAACACCAAGGUCUUGCUCCCGGACAAGCUAAACACCUUCUUCGCCCAUUUUGAGGAAAACACAGUGCCACCGACGUGGGCCCCUCCCGAGGACUGUGGGCUCUCGUUCAUCAUGGCCGACGUAAGAUAUUUAAGCUUGUUAACCCACGCAACGCUGCCGAUGCAAUUGCCAUUGCAUUGCACACUAACCUAUCCCAUCUGGACAAGAGGAAUACCUAUGUAAGAAUGUUGUUCAUUGACUACAGCUCAGCCUUCAACACCAUAGUACCCUCCAAGCUCAUCAUUAAGCUCGGGCCUGGGACUGAACCCCAACCUGUGCAACUGUGUCCUGGACUUCCUGACAGGCCGCUCCCGGGUGGUGGAUGUAGGAAACAACACCUCGACUACGCUGAUCCUCAACACAGGGGACCCACAAGGGUGUGUGCUCAGCCCCCUUCUGUACUCCUUGUGUGGCCAUGCAUGCCUUCAGCUCAAUCAUCAAGUUUGCAGACGACACAGUAGUAGGCCAGAUUUCCAACAAUGACGAGGCAGCCUACAGUGAGGAGGUGAGGGCCCUGGCAGAGUGGUGCCAGGAAAACAAGCUCUCCCUCAACGUCAACAAAGAUUAAGGAAAUUAUCAUGGACUUCAGGAGACAGCAGAGGGAGCAUGCCUCCAUCAACAUCGACGGGGCCACAGCGGAGAAGGUGAAAAACUUCAAGUUCCUUGGCAUACAUAUCACAGACAAUCUGAAAUUGUCCACCCACACAGACAGUGCAGCGAGGAAGGCAAAACAGCGUCUUUUCAACCUCAGGAGGCUAAAGAAUUUCAGCUUUUCCCCUAAAGACCCUUUCAAACUUUUACAGAUUGAACCCUAACCCAUUGAGAUCAUCCUAUCGGGUUGUAUCGCUGCCUGGUAUGGCAACUGCACCGCUUGCAACCGCAGGGCUCUCCAGAGGGUGGUGCAGUCUGCCCAACGCAUCACCGGGGGCACACUGCAUGUCUGCCAGGACACCUACAGCAGCAGAUGUCACAGGAAGGCCAAAAAGAUCAUCAAGGACAUAAACCACCCGAGCCACGGCUUGUUCACCCCGCUAUCAUCCAAAAAGCGAGGUUAGUACAGGUGCAUCAAAGCUGGGACCAAGAGACUGAAAAACAGCUUCUAACUCAAGGCCAUCAGACUACCAUCACUAGCCGGCCUCCACCCAAUACCCUGCCCUGAACUUAGUCACUGUCACUAGCCGGCUACCACCCGGUUACUCAACCCUGCACCUUAGAGGCUACUGCUCUGUGUACAUAGACAUGGAAUCACUGGUUACUUUAAUAAUGUUUACUAAUUUCAUAUGUAUAUACUGUAUUCUAGUCAAUUACAUCCUAUUCAACUAUUGCUAUAUACUAUUCUAUCCGACGUAUUCUACAGAUAUAUAUAUAUAUAUAUAUAAUGUGUUUUCAAUAUAUAUAUAUAUAUAUAUAUAUAUCUGUAAAAUACGUAGGAUAGAAUAGUGUGUAUAUAUAUAUCUCUACAGAUAUAUAUUUAUAUUCCCGGACUCCGACAUUGCUCGUCCUAAUAUUUAUAUUUUUCUUGAUUUAAUUAUUUUACUUUUAGAUUUGUGUUUAUUGUUGUGAGUAGUUAGAUAUUACUGCACUGUUGGAGCUAGGAACACAAGCAUUUCGCUACACCCACAAUAACGUCUUCUAAAUAUGUGUAUGCACCAAUAAAAUUUUAUUUUAUUUAA
RNA transcript from Oncorhynchus masou masou (cherry salmon), 4010 nucleotides. It is a transcript of the gene named DnaJ heat shock protein family (Hsp40) member B13, with no coding region annotated. The transcript has 9 exons. The record is from RefSeq and is a predicted model, not a curated record. NCBI's taxonomy places the organism in Eukaryota, Metazoa, Chordata, Actinopteri, Salmoniformes, Salmonidae.